This 422-nucleotide ribosomal RNA is filed under the name uncultured Glomeromycotina. RNAcentral's name for it is "SSU rRNA". It matches the Rfam family "Eukaryotic small subunit ribosomal RNA", at positions 672 to 1092 of the family's 1831-position model. Lineage: Eukaryota; Fungi; Glomeromycota. The record is from RNAcentral.
UGGUAUGACUGGUCUCGCUGAUCCCUCCUUUCUGAAGAACUGUAAUGUCAUUAAUUUGGUGUUGCAGGGAAACAGGACUGUUACUUUGAAAAAAUUAGAGUGUUUAAAGCAGGCUAACGCUUGAAUACAUUAGCAUGGAAUAAUGAAAUAGGACGUUCAAACCUAUUUUGUUGGUUUCUAGGAUUGACGUAAUGAUUAAUAGGGAUAGUUGGGGGCAUUAGUAUUCAAUUGUCAGAGGUGAAAUUCUUGGAUUUAUUGAAGACUAACUACUGCGAAAGCAUUUGCCAAGGAUGUUUUCAUUAAUCAAGAACGAAAGUUAGGGGAUCGAAGACGAUCAGAUACCGUCGUAGUCUUAACCAUAAACUAUGCCGACUAGGGAUCGGAUGAUGUUAAUUUUUUAAUGACUCAUUCGGCGCCUUACG